UGGGGGAAUAUUGGGCAAUGGGCGCAAGCCUGACCCAGCAACGCCGCGUGAGGGAAGAAGGUUUUCGGAUUGUAAACCUCUGUCCUUGGUGACGAAGGAAGUGACGGUGGCCAAGGAGGAAGCCACGGCUAACUACGUGCCAGCAGCCGCGGUAAUACGUAGGUGGCAAGCGUUAUCCGGAUUUACUGGGUGUAAAGGGCGCGUAGGCGGGGAUGCAAGUCAGAUGUGAAAUCUAUGGGCUUAACCCAUAAACUGCAUUUGAAACUGUAUCUCUUGAGUGUCGGAGAGGUAGACGGAAUUCCUAGUGUAGCGGUGAAAUGCGUAGAUAUUAGGAGGAACACCAGUGGCGAAGGCGGUCUACUGGACGAUAACUGACGCUGAGGCGCGAAAGCGUGGGGAGCAAACAGGAUUAGAUACCCUGGUAGU
Molecule: ribosomal RNA, 426 nt
Filed under: uncultured Oscillospiraceae bacterium
Lineage: Bacteria; Bacillati; Bacillota; Clostridia; Eubacteriales; Oscillospiraceae
Description: bacterial SSU rRNA
Rfam family: Bacterial small subunit ribosomal RNA
Source: RNAcentral